Molecule: non-coding RNA, 78 nt
Organism: Gracilibacter sp. BRH_c7a
Lineage: Bacteria; Bacillati; Bacillota; Clostridia; Eubacteriales; Gracilibacteraceae
Source: Rfam
GGGAGCCGUGAUGAGCUGAGAGGUUCAAGUCCGGUUCUGCGAGGGCCUGGGUGGUGUGAUUCCCCCGGGCUACUCACC